Molecule: transfer RNA, 110 nt
Filed under: Scleropages formosus (Asian bonytongue)
Lineage: Eukaryota; Metazoa; Chordata; Actinopteri; Osteoglossiformes; Osteoglossidae
Rfam family: tRNA
About the family: Transfer RNA (tRNA) molecules are approximately 80 nucleotides in length. Their secondary structure includes four short double-helical elements and three loops (D, anti-codon, and T loops). Further hydrogen bonds mediate the characteristic L-shaped molecular structure. tRNAs have two regions of fundamental functional importance: the anti-codon, which is responsible for specific mRNA codon recognition, and the 3' end, to which the tRNAs corresponding amino acid is attached (by aminoacyl-tRNA synthetases). tRNAs cope with the degeneracy of the genetic code in two manners: having more than one tRNA (with a specific anti-codon) for a particular amino acid; and 'wobble' base-pairing, i.e. permitting non-standard base-pairing at the 3rd anti-codon position.
Source: Rfam by way of RNAcentral
GUCAGGAUGGCCGAGUGGUCUAAGGCGCCASACUCAAGGUUCAGRACCUUCCACAAGGUGGGCAUUCUGGUCUCUGAAUGGAGGCGUGGGUUCGAAUCCCACUUCUGACA